Molecule: ribosomal RNA, 253 nt
Filed under: uncultured bacterium
Lineage: Bacteria
Description: partial 16S ribosomal RNA
Rfam family: Bacterial small subunit ribosomal RNA
Source: RNAcentral
UACGUAGGGCGCAAGCGUUGUCCGGAAUUAUUGGGCGUAAAGAGCUUGUAGGCGGUUUGUCGCGUCUGCUGUGAAAAUCCGGGGCUCAACCCCGGACUUGCAGUGGGUACGGGCAGACUAGAGUGUGGUAGGGGAGACUGGAAUUCCGGGUGUAGUGGUGGAAUGCGUAGAGAUCCGGAGGAACACCAGCGGCGAAGGCGGCGUCCUGGACUGGUACUGACGCUCAGGAGCGAAAGCAUGGGGAGCGAUCCGG